CUAAUGUGUGUGUGGAAUAAAUAGAAAGAAGGGUGGCACCUUCCUCUCUUUAUGGCAAGACCAAGGGGCACCAAUCCCCUGGAUAAUGCAAGAGGAGCCCGCCCUCUCUUGUGGCAUGACAUGGAGGAGAGAGAGAGAGAGGGGCCACGCUCCCUUCUUGAAUGAAAAUCCUAGAAUGGGGUGCCAACCCACUUGCCCUGUAUUCCAUGGGUGCCCAUUCAGAUUUCAUAUCUGACUAGGAU
RNAcentral lists this long non-coding RNA (242 nucleotides) under Elaeis guineensis (African oil palm). Its description in RNAcentral is "long non-coding RNA (EGUI_LNC076630)". The record is from RNAcentral. Lineage: Eukaryota; Viridiplantae; Streptophyta; Magnoliopsida; Arecales; Arecaceae.